UAUAAAAACUAUAAAUUUUAAGUAAUUUUUAUAAAUUCUAUAAAUUUUUACAAAAUUUAAACGUUUUAUAUCAUAAAACAUGUUAAAACUUUAAAAUUAACUUUUAUAUUAACACUAUAUUCAAGAAAAUCUCUUAAGAAACCCGCUAAGUUUCUAACAACAUUUGGCAACACCAUUUAUUGGCAUAAUCAUUCUGUGUGAAUGACAAGUUUGUAAAAAGAAGAGCAAAUGGACCACAAAACAACCAAGAACUAAAUUUCACUAGAAACACAUAAAAAACAAGGCGAAAUCUUAACACAAACAAACAGUUCAGAUGAAUUAAAAAUCUCUCGGAGCUAGCACCACCUGAAUUGGAAUGAUGAUGAAAAAACAAAAUUUUUUUUUAAAAAGCAACUAAAACAAACAAAUCUUAAAAACAAAAUCCCAUAAAAAAAACCUAAAAAUACUGUAAUUUAAAGAAAUGGCCAAAAAUCUCUCAAAGGCGGUUCUGCCUUAAAUGGAACGAAUAUAUAAAGUAACCAAAUUUUGUUAGGAAAACAACUACAACAACCUUAGAAAUUCCAAUAAAACCUCGAAAAUAUAGCAAUUUGAAAUAUAAUGUUUGUGUGACUAAGAAACAAAAAACCAAUAGCUUUCCCAGAUCAUUUUAAACGAUCUUAAUUUACUGCCUUAAUAAUAAUAUAAAUGCCAACAAAAAGGAAUUUAGCCCGGCAAUUCAGUACCUUAA
Molecule: long non-coding RNA, 727 nt
Organism: Lucilia cuprina (Australian sheep blowfly)
Lineage: Eukaryota; Metazoa; Arthropoda; Insecta; Diptera; Calliphoridae
Exons: 2
Source: RefSeq, a predicted model, not a curated record